UGGGGAAUAUUGCACAAUGGGGGGAAACCCUGAUGCAGCGACGCCGCGUGAAGGAAGAAGUAUCUCGGUAUGUAAACUUCUAUCAGCAGGGAAGAAAUUGACGGUACCUGACUAAGAAGCCCCGGCUAACUACGUGCCAGCAGCCGCGGUAAUACGUAGGGGGCAAGCGUUAUCCGGAUUUACUGGGUGUAAAGGGAGCGUAGACGGCGUAUCAAGUCUGAUGUGAAAGGCAUGGGCCCAACCUGUGGACUGCAUUGGAAACUGUCGUACUAGAGUGUCGGAGGGGUAAGUGGAAUUCUUAGUGUAGCGGUGAAAUGCGUAGAUAUUAGGAGGAACACCAGUGGCGAAGGCGGCUUACUGGACGAUAACUGACGCUGAGGCUCGAAAGCGUGGGGAGCAAACAGGAUUAGAUACCCUGGUAGU
Molecule: ribosomal RNA, 423 nt
Filed under: uncultured Lachnospiraceae bacterium
Lineage: Bacteria; Bacillati; Bacillota; Clostridia; Lachnospirales; Lachnospiraceae
Description: bacterial SSU rRNA
Rfam family: Bacterial small subunit ribosomal RNA
Source: RNAcentral